GGAUUACACAAUUAUUUCAAGAUAAUUAUCCUUGGCUACAAGGGUUAAUAACAAAGUUACUUAAACAAUAGAUAAUAUAGAGCAAUUUUAUUACAUGGCAUCCCAUGGGUGGGUUGAAUUAAAGUAGAGCAGACAGAGAACAACAGUUGUAUUAGGGAUGUUGACAAAGUCACCCAUUGGGUGCACUAAAGGAUCUCUUAGGUCAGGUUUUUUAAAGUUACCAGCAAAACGUAUUGAUUGUGAAAUUUCAAGUGCACCAUUAUCCUGUCAAAUGAAAAAGGUAGGCAUUAAGAGGGGUCAAAGUCUCAUUAUGAUAUGGAGUCUUUUUCUGAUGUCUUGG
RNAcentral lists this long non-coding RNA (340 nucleotides) under Homo sapiens (human). RNAcentral describes it as "non-protein coding lnc-CYB5R4-4:1". The record is from RNAcentral. Lineage: Eukaryota; Metazoa; Chordata; Mammalia; Primates; Hominidae.